This 30-nucleotide non-coding RNA is filed under the name Homo sapiens (human). Lineage: Eukaryota; Metazoa; Chordata; Mammalia; Primates; Hominidae. The record is from RNAcentral.
UGGGACUAGAGCUGGGUGUCACGUGAACCC